Molecule: regulatory RNA element, 88 nt
Organism: Candidatus Jettenia caeni
Lineage: Bacteria; Pseudomonadati; Planctomycetota; Candidatus Brocadiia; Candidatus Brocadiales; Candidatus Brocadiaceae
Rfam family: c-di-GMP-I riboswitch aptamer
About the family: GEMM was predicted in a large-scale screen for bacterial structured RNA regulatory elements. Genes associated with GEMM are involved in a diverse array of functions, including chemotaxis regulation, signal transduction, secretion and chitin.
Source: Rfam
ACCUGAUAAGGGCAAACCAUUCGAAAGGAUGGGACGCAAAGCCACUGGCCUAAAUCCUUCAUAAGGACAUGGUAGCAGGGUUGCCGGG